Molecule: ribosomal RNA, 912 nt
Filed under: Salmonella enterica
Lineage: Bacteria; Pseudomonadati; Pseudomonadota; Gammaproteobacteria; Enterobacterales; Enterobacteriaceae
Description: partial 23S ribosomal RNA
Rfam family: Bacterial large subunit ribosomal RNA
Source: RNAcentral
GGGUUGUGAGGUUAAGCGACUAAGCGUACACGGUGGAUGCCCUGGCAGUCAGAGGCGAUGAAGGGCGUGCUAAUCUGCGAUAAGCGCCGGUAAGGUGAUAUGAACCGUUAUAACCGGCGAUACCCGAAUGGGGAAACCCAGUGUGACUCGUCACACUAUCAUUAACUGAAUCCAUAGGUUAAUGAGGCGAACCGGGGGAACUGAAACAUCUAAGUACCCCGAGGAAAAGAAAUCAACCGAGAUUCCCCCAGUAGCGGCGAGCGAACGGGGAGGAGCCCAGAGCCUGAAUCAGCAUGUGUGUUAGUGGAAGCGUCUGGAAAGGCGCGCGAUACAGGGUGACAGCCCCGUACACAAAAGCGCACAUGCUGUGAGCUCGAUGAGUAGGGCGGGACACGUGGUAUCCUGUCUGAAUAUGGGGGGACCAUCCUCCAAGGCUAAAUACUCCUGACUGACCGAUAGUGAACCAGUACCGUGAGGGAAAGGCGAAAAGAACCCCGGCGAGGGGAGUGAAAAAGAACCUGAAACCGUGUACGUACAAGCAGUGGGAGCACCCUUUGGGGUGUGACUGCGUACCUUUUGUAUAAUGGGUCAGCGACUUAUAUUCUGUAGCAAGGUUAACCGUAUAGGGGAGCCGGAGGGAAACCGAGUCUUAACCGGGCGUUAAGUUGCAGGGUAUAGACCCGAAACCCGGUGAUCUAGCCAUGGGCAGGUUGAAGGUUGGGUAACACUAACUGGAGGACCGAACCGACUAAUGUUGAAAAAUUAGCGGAUGACCUGUGGCUGGGGGUGAAAGGCCAAUCAAACCGGGAGAUAGCUGGUUCUCCCCGAAAGCUAUUUAGGUAGCGCCUCGUGAACUCAUCUCCGGGGGUAGAGCACUGUUUCGGCUAGGGGGCCAUCCCGGCUUACCAACCC